Molecule: ribosomal RNA, 256 nt
Filed under: uncultured bacterium
Lineage: Bacteria
Description: partial 16S ribosomal RNA
Rfam family: Bacterial small subunit ribosomal RNA
Source: RNAcentral
UCGGACGGGUGAGUAACGCGUGGGUAACCUGCCAUAUACAGGGGGAUAACACUUAGAAAUAGGUGCUAAUACCGCAUAAGCGCACAUGGCCGCAUGGCCAGGUGUGAAAAACUCCGGUGGUAUAUGAUGGACCCGCGUCUGAUUAGCUAGUUGGUGAGGUAACGGCCCACCAAGGCGACGAUCAGUAGCCGGCCUGAGAGGGUGGACGGCCACAUUGGGACUGAGACACGGCCCAAACUCCUACGGGAGGCAGCAG